This 741-nucleotide ribosomal RNA is filed under the name Escherichia coli. Its description in RNAcentral is "partial 23S ribosomal RNA". It matches the Rfam family "Bacterial large subunit ribosomal RNA", at positions 551 to 1293 of the family's 2925-position model. Lineage: Bacteria; Pseudomonadati; Pseudomonadota; Gammaproteobacteria; Enterobacterales; Enterobacteriaceae. The record is from RNAcentral.
UGAAACCGUGUACGUACAAGCAGUGGGAGCCUCUUAAUGGGGUGACUGCGUACCUUUUGUAUAAUGGGUCAGCGACUUAUAUUCUGUAGCAAGGUUAACCGAAUAGGGGAGCCGAAGGGAAACCGAGUCUUAACUGGGCGUUAAGUUGCAGGGUAUAGACCCGAAACCCGGUGAUCUAGCCAUGGGCAGGUUGAAGGUUGGGUAACACUAACUGGAGGACCGAACCGACUAAUGUUGAAAAAUUAGCGGAUGACUUGUGGCUGGGGGUGAAAGGCCAAUCAAACCGGGAGAUAGCUGGUUCUCCCCGAAAGCUAUUUAGGUAGCGCCUCGUGAAUUCAUCUCCGGGGGUAGAGCACUGUUUCGGCAAGGGGGUCAUCCCGACUUACCAACCCGAUGCAAACUGCGAAUACCGGAGAAUGUUAUCACGGGAGACACACGGCGGGUGCUAACGUCCGUCGUGAAGAGGGAAACAACCCAGACCGCCAGCUAAGGUCCCAAAGUCAUGGUUAAGUGGGAAACGAUGUGGGAAGGCCCAGACAGCCAGGAUGUUGGCUUAGAAGCAGCCAUCAUUUAAAGAAAGCGUAAUAGCUCACUGGUCGAGUCGGCCUGCGCGGAAGAUGUAACGGGGCUAAACCAUGCACCGAAGCUGCGGCAGCGACACUAUGUGUUGUUGGGUAGGGGAGCGUUCUGUAAGCCUGUGAAGGUGGCCUGUGAGGGUUGCUGGAGGUAUCAGAAGUGCGA